CAGUGACUUGCGGUUCUGCUCUGUGGUCGAGCCUGUUCGCCUCCCUCUGGGCGUGAGCUGGCCCCCACAACUCGCUCCUAGCCAGGGGAGUAUACCCAAGCAAAGUGCUGAGGCUUUAGAGGGCAGCCACGAAAGUCAUGUGGCUGCCGCCCGGCUGUCUGAGAGGCCACUAGCCAAGAGGACGCUCCCGCAGCGCUGUGCGGAGGCCUGGAAGCGGCCCCUCCUGCCCGGGCAGGCGGGAGUGCUUUACACGAGGCCCCCUGGUCUGGCGUCCCCACUGCCACACACCGGAGACCACAAGCCGGACCACCCGGCUGAAUAACCCGCUGAAACCGUGGUUUUCAUGGGAGGAAGAGGUGUCUGUGAGAAAACUACCGGCGUGACGACAUCGUGUCCUCUAGCUAGUGACACGCACAUAGGACCUAGGAGUCAGGGACCCCAUCGGGCCCCGGGCAGGGGAGCUGAUAAACACGGCCGAGCCCCAGGAAAGUGGAUGAAGACUCGGAGGUGAAAAAGAGAGACUCCCGACCACUUACGACCUGUGUAAUUCUACAUUAAUGCAGUUCCUCAGAUGGCAUCCGGGGAUUCAGCCCGGAGCCUGGAACGCGAGGGGAACCAGAACAGGGUCGCCGGGAGCGCCGCGCCCGUGCUGGUUCCGCGGGGACGGAGGGCUGUAACGCUGGGGAAGCUGAGGGGUGUAGGGACCCUCCGUGCCUUCUUUGCAAUUAAAAUGAUUCCAAAAUUGUUGUUUUUGAUGAACAGAGGUAAAGCAGCAGACACAGCAGAGACUCAUACAGGCAUCUUCCCCGCAUUGACGUUAGAGGCACGUGUGUUAAAAUGCAUAACUGGGGACAGCCGCGUCCCCGUCUCUGCUCCUGCAGACGAGAUCACUGGACACCGGCUGUUCCAAGAGGAGGCCGAGCCCGAGGCCGCCCAGCACAUCGUCCAAAGACCCCCCGCUCUGUACUGCUCGCCCUGAACGUCCACAAUUCCACACCAAGUGAACCCCACACAACACACACGUGCUCAUCAAGCGUGGGGCCCGAGGCCAGAAGGGGCUGCGGGGCUCACGGCUCCGGCCACACAAGCCGUUGGCUCGGCACCACUGUCCCGACGUUUGGUUUGGCGGGACGAGAGGGCUGCGUGCCGCAGCGUCUUUGGGGGACUCCUGUGGUCUGGUGAUCAGGGCCACAUGAGUGGUGGUGAGCCCCGUGUUCCAAGUGAGGAGUUCACGCACACAUGCUACCGUACCCACAACCUCCCAACACAAUCACACACGCAAUCUCGAGAACACACGUGGUCACACACUAGCGACACAGACGCACAGCCUCCCCGCAACCGCGCACACAACUAGGCACGCCCUCACACACGGGGUCACACGGUGGCAGAUGUGCGCUCACACACACCACCGUGGGCCGGGGCCGCAGACGGGCAGCGCAGGCUCGGGGUCCAUGAGGCCGCGUCCUCACGGCCGUGUCCCACCGUGCUGGUGCACAAGACACCAGUUUAUCUGCCAGGUGCCCAGAGGUUCGCCCUCCGGAUCCCAGCAAGUGGACGCUAAAGGGGGCUGGCGGGCCUGUGUUGGAUGUGAACACGCGGUCCCCAAAGCUCCAACCACUGCCAGGGACCACGCCUUCCCCUGUGGGGUCCAGGAGUGUGGAGUUGGCCCCUGAGAUGGGCGACAGCAGGGCCCUGCCGGGCCAUCCUUCGCCGAUUCUUGGGCAAAGCCCAUCCUCCUGGCCAGACUGCAGAGCCCGAGGACAGCUGCCCCUGCGUGCCAGGCUGGCUUUCCUGCCACACAUCGCCCCCCACCCUGCGUCAGGGAUUUUCAUGGCACCCCCCCCAGGGUGACCCCCAGUACUCUUGUCAGGCGGGCACCCCGGGGCACGCAGAUGCUGAGGGCCAGGUAGGGGAAGCAGAGCAGCUCCCCACAGCGGGCCUGGCCACCCUGCCCGGCUCUGGCCCCCGGUUCCUGCCGUGCCCCGCACCACCCGGCGCCGUGGGGAGUGAAGGCGUGAAAGGGUGCUCUGGGUGGGAGCGCGGGCAGGUGUCCGGGACCGUGGCCUCAUCCGCGCACCCCGGCCGGCUGCUCUGCCGGUCCAGCCGGCUGCACAGCGGCUCUGCCUGACCUGGGAGCUCAGCACCCACAGAGGCCGCCCCGGCCCUUUCCGGAGACCCCGACUCACCGCCCGCCCUCCGCCGAAGCCGCCGCCGCUUCUGCUCCAGCGGGCCCUGCCGCGGGGACCAGGGAGUGGGGGCGGGGCCGGGGGCGGCACCGGCAGGGAGGCGGGGUCACUGAGGCCUUGCUCAGGUGUGCAGGGGGAGGGCAGGGCGGUCUGGCAGGUGAGCCUUGGGGCUGGUGAGCUCCCUGGCGGGUGAGCCAGGACAGGGCCCUGCACGACCCUAGGGAGACAGCCUGGGGAAGGGGCUGUGCGUGAAUAACUAUGAUCGUUUAAAAAAUAAACUUGCAGAACAGCUUUG
This 2481-nucleotide long non-coding RNA is filed under the name Mustela putorius furo (domestic ferret). RNAcentral's name for it is "lncRNA (ENSMPUG00000026078.1)". The record is from RNAcentral. Lineage: Eukaryota; Metazoa; Chordata; Mammalia; Carnivora; Mustelidae.